RNAcentral lists this transfer RNA (71 nucleotides) under Heterocephalus glaber (naked mole-rat). It matches the Rfam family "tRNA". Rfam says of the family: Transfer RNA (tRNA) molecules are approximately 80 nucleotides in length. Their secondary structure includes four short double-helical elements and three loops (D, anti-codon, and T loops). Further hydrogen bonds mediate the characteristic L-shaped molecular structure. tRNAs have two regions of fundamental functional importance: the anti-codon, which is responsible for specific mRNA codon recognition, and the 3' end, to which the tRNAs corresponding amino acid is attached (by aminoacyl-tRNA synthetases). tRNAs cope with the degeneracy of the genetic code in two manners: having more than one tRNA (with a specific anti-codon) for a particular amino acid; and 'wobble' base-pairing, i.e. permitting non-standard base-pairing at the 3rd anti-codon position. Lineage: Eukaryota; Metazoa; Chordata; Mammalia; Rodentia; Bathyergidae. The record is from Rfam by way of RNAcentral.
GGGGUGUAGCUGAGUGGCAGAGCACUUGCCUCCCAUGCACAAGGCCCUGGGUUCAAACCCCAGCACCACCA